CGCGAAAACUCCGCAAUACGCGAAGGCGUGACGGGGUCAUUCCGAGUGCCGUCCGCUGAGGAUGGCUUUUCCCCAUUGUAGAUAGCUGGGGGAAUAAGGAGAGGGCAAGUCUGGUGUCAGCCGCCGCGGUAAUACCAGCUCUUCGAGUGGUGGGGAUGUUUAUUGGGCCUGAAGCAUCCGUAGCCAGCUGAGCAAGUCCCCUGUUAAAUCCAGCGAUUUAAUCGUUGGAUUGCGGGGGAUACUGUUCGGCUAGGGGGUGGGAGAGGCCGACGGUAUUCCUGGGGUAGGGGUGAAAUCCUAUAAUCCCGGGAGGACCACCAGUGGCGAAGGCUGUCGGCUAGAACAUGCCCGACGGUGAGGGAUGAAAGCUGGGGGAGCGAACCG
Molecule: ribosomal RNA, 384 nt
Filed under: uncultured bacterium
Lineage: Bacteria
Description: bacterial SSU rRNA
Rfam family: Archaeal small subunit ribosomal RNA
Source: RNAcentral